UUAGAUUGCAUUUUACCCCUU
Molecule: microRNA, 21 nt
Filed under: Gossypium raimondii (Peruvian cotton)
Lineage: Eukaryota; Viridiplantae; Streptophyta; Magnoliopsida; Malvales; Malvaceae
Description: gra-miR8764
Source: miRBase by way of RNAcentral